UCGCUAGAGAUAGCUUAGUGCCUUCGGGAACUCUGAGACAGGUGCUGCAUGGCUGUCGUCAGCUCGUGUUGUGAAAUGUUGGGUUAAGUCCCGCAACGAGCGCAACCCUUAUCCUUUGUUGCCAGCGAGUAAUGUCGGGAACUCAAAGGAGACUGCCGGUGAUAAACCGGAGGAAGGUGGGGAUGACGUCAAGUCAUCAUGGCCCUUACGAGUAGGGCUACACACGUGCUACAAUGGCAUAUACAAAGAGAAGCGAACUCGCGAGAGCAAGCGGACCUCAUAAAGUAUGUCGUAGUCCGGAUUGGAGUCUGCAACUCGACUCCAUGAAGUCGGAAUCGCUAGUAAUCGUAGAUCAGAAUGCUACGGUGAAUACGUUCCCGGGUCUUGUACACACC
This 395-nucleotide ribosomal RNA is filed under the name Rahnella sp. ARE_PHE21_A. RNAcentral describes it as "bacterial SSU rRNA". It matches the Rfam family "Bacterial small subunit ribosomal RNA", at positions 997 to 1391 of the family's 1533-position model. Lineage: Bacteria; Pseudomonadati; Pseudomonadota; Gammaproteobacteria; Enterobacterales; Yersiniaceae. The record is from RNAcentral.